Molecule: long non-coding RNA, 489 nt
Organism: Notolabrus celidotus (New Zealand spotty)
Lineage: Eukaryota; Metazoa; Chordata; Actinopteri; Labriformes; Labridae
Exons: 3
Source: RefSeq, a predicted model, not a curated record
CUACCCAAUGCCGGAUGCUUCGAACUGGAAGUUUCUUCUUCGUGUAGCGUAUUGAUUGCAUUAGUCUGUCGCUGCUAAAUCAAUUAGCAGAAAGCUAGCGAUAAAACAGCCUUCUCGAGACACGACACUCCAAUAAUUAAAAUGCAUCCGUCGAUUAUUGAAGGAGACCAGGGGUUGGAGUACACAAGUGUGUCACCAUCCCACUUUGGCUGUCCCCUCUGCCCCAGCUUCACCACACGGAGUGCAGGAGUCAUCAAGAGGCACCUGGAAGCUCAUGUGACAAAUGCAGUGCAUUUCAUGGAAAUGAUGAUCUGCAGAUGCAAUCUCCACUGCAGAGAUGGAAGCCAUUUUCACUGCCCAUUUUGUUUAACCACAAUCAUCCGCAAAGACUCCAUAACAACACACCUCAAGGAGUGCCAAAAUAAGUCUGAAGUAUCGGUUCCACCCUCUCAACCGCCCUCACCAGAGGCCCACCCUCCUGCGGAUUUU